Long non-coding RNA from Capsicum annuum, 713 nucleotides. RefSeq lists it as uncharacterized. Lineage: Eukaryota; Viridiplantae; Streptophyta; Magnoliopsida; Solanales; Solanaceae. The record is from RefSeq and is a predicted model, not a curated record. The transcript is spliced from 3 exons.
CUCCUUAAUUCCAAAUGCACCCAUUCGACAGCUGCCAGAACCUCCAGCUUCAUCGUCUACUCUUGUGGGUUUGCUUCCACCUUUCUCUACCUCAACUUUGUAUUAUCCAACUCACAUAAGAGUGUUCACUGUUUGGAGGAGGUAAUGGGUUGUCCACCAUCGUGUGUCUUUGAGGGAGGUUGUCAUUUGGAGUUCGCAGCUGGACCAAAGGAUACUUGAGGAGUUGAAUUUGAUGAAAUUUUUAUAAGGAACAAACUACAAUUGAAGGCAAAAUAACACCACAAGGCUUGGAUAAAAAAAUGGACAUUGGAACACUUAGCCAAAAAUAUGGAUGCAACUUCCAGUGAGCCAACGAGAUUGAGCCACAACGCACCACUCCCUUGAUGAGAUUUUAAACAUGACGCAUUGGUCUUGCCACAUGAAAUGCAAUGUGCCGCAUUUCUUAGUCCACGGGAUAGGCAAGGCGAUGUGUUGGAUAUCCCACAUACGGCCAAUUUGCAAAUCCUUCUCCUACACGGCUAAGGCUUGGCAUAUUAGUAUAAAUAGGACAUUAUGCACGUUUUGUAAUCAUCUUGGAUGUCUUGGAAAAUUUUGGAGGCUGAUUCAACUCAUCACUUUUAGGUUUUACAUUCUUUAAAUUAGAUUAUUUAUGUUUUUUAUCAUUCAUACAAUUAUUUGGAUGAUGAUUAUGACUAUUAGUGGCUAAAAUCUCA